Long non-coding RNA from Vanessa atalanta (red admiral), 1050 nucleotides. RefSeq lists it as uncharacterized. The record is from RefSeq and is a predicted model, not a curated record. Lineage: Eukaryota; Metazoa; Arthropoda; Insecta; Lepidoptera; Nymphalidae. The transcript has 4 exons.
AAUGUGUGUAAAAACAACAAAUUAGAAGGCAGUUGUUUUAAAAAUUGUUUUGCCCUCCCCCUCCUUUAGUCUAAUAUAAGGAGGGGGAGGGGCGUGAAGCUGCGCAUUUGAUGCACUCGGCGAACGGAGUAGACAAUGAUGAUUUUUGAAGGCAUCCCCCUUCCCUUUCCGUAAGUCUACGAUAAGGAGGGCGUGGCCUGUGGGACGGUGCAUUUGCUGCACGGAGGUUACGCGUAUCAAAUAUUACGAACGGUUUUUGCAGGUCCUCGGUGCUUGAGUCUUCAGCACCUGACCGACGGUUCUGUGCGCGUUGGAAGUUUCACUUGAAGCUUCAGAGACUUUUAAACUAGUAUAAUACGCGCCAUCUAAAGAGACUGGUCCGAAGUUAGCCUCUCUACUAUAUAACCUUUAAAAUAUAAUAAUCAACUAAUUUCUGACCGGCCAACUUAGAUCGCCCGUAUUGUAAUUAAGAUAAAUUUAAUGUUGCUUUGUUAAAUAUGUUCAUGUAUCUAACAAAACAACCUGUUAUUACUACUGUAAGUUACUAUUAUAUAUAGUUCAGGGCGGGGACGUAUUCACUUGACGAUUCCCAGACCUUGACUCUAGUAUUAUACGUACAAGUUAUCAAGAAAUGUUUGAAAUCGACACAUUUAAGCCACUAAACAUCAAACAUAAAUAUUGUAAUUAAGGUUAACUUAAUGUUAGUUGGCCCCAAGCUAUUACUGCAUGUUACUAAUGUAUGCGGUAUUACUAAGGAUUUCCCUGCGCGUAGUAAUGUAAGCAAUAGCGAAGGUAUGCCCUCGAUUUCUUCGCUACUAUUGAAUGCAACGUAUGUUGCAAUUAAAACAUUAAGUCACUAAACAUCAACGUUAAAUAUUGUAAGGUUCAUUUAAUGUUGGUUUGUUAAAUAUAGCCAAAUAUUUAACAAAACAACCAUCAUUAACUCUCGCCGUAAGUUACUAACUAACCUAGUAUUGUAAUCGGUAGGUAUGGUAUGCCCUUCGGUAGGUAAUUUAAGGACAAAAAAAAUUAAAAAACUGAAUAAAAUGU